UUUUUCUAUGGUCACGAAGAUAGUAUAUAACUAAACUUUUUAAUAACGUUUCUCUCUUUUGCAGAUGCUGGAAUUCAAAAACAUCUCUCUUCAUCGUUGCUACGAGUAAUCACUAAUUUUCUUCAGUUUACAGAAAACUUCUAACAAUAUUUAACCAAGUUUGUAUUUACGACAGAAAAACAAGUUUUUCUCUUCAACAGGUUCGUACAAAACUUGACCGUUACAGGCAAUGCAUGGCCAAAGACUGGAGGGCAAUUGAGAGAAUUCGUGCCCGUAUAUCAUUCCUCUAACAGAAGAAUAAAACACGAAGAAAUGCAACUCAUACGGAGAUAAGCAACAUUAUACCUGGAAUCGGCCGAACACGGGCACCGGUAUCGUGGCGGCACCGACUGAAAUGGCUGGCAGAAGAUGGCUCAAUUUUUUGCUCGAUCGGUUCUAAAUUGAGAUGAAUAAAUGAAUCAAUGGAUACGUAUUUGGUCGAGGCAUCGAUGUGACUAUGGUUUUAGCAGAAGCCUAAGUCCCAUUUACAGAUGGAGACCCUAGUGUUGAUGCUGUCUGGAACAAAUUGGAAACGAUUGAACCAGCAGCAAUGGACAAAAAACCGAAUUGCGAACCAUCUAAAUCCGCUCUACAACCGCAAAGAAGACAAACCAAUUUUCUCCUCUGUCCCUUGACUGAGUAUCUCCCGGAGAUGUCACCGUAACAUACUGUAGGAUAUCGCCUUGGUGCAAACCUUUAUUCUAGCAAGUUGAGAAAAGUCCAAUGGAAAUAUUUUACAGAUAUGGAGUUAUUUAAAAAAUUUGGUUGGAUGAUUGUCUGAUCAAGAAGAGUGGGUAGAUACGAAUGAAAAGGGCGCAUCAAAACACAAAAA
Molecule: long non-coding RNA, 871 nt
Organism: Aedes aegypti (yellow fever mosquito)
Lineage: Eukaryota; Metazoa; Arthropoda; Insecta; Diptera; Culicidae
Exons: 2
Source: RefSeq, a predicted model, not a curated record